UCUGCUUUAGUAUACUUAUUAUAAUAGCUUUUCGUGCUGUAGAUAGUUUAUUUACAAACUAAGCAGGA
RNAcentral lists this transfer RNA (68 nucleotides) under Serendip sp. MZUSP 7987. RNAcentral describes it as "tRNA-Glu". The record is from RNAcentral. Lineage: Eukaryota; Metazoa; Platyhelminthes; Cestoda; Tetraphyllidea; Serendipidae.